Helianthus annuus (common sunflower) is the source of this 662-nucleotide long non-coding RNA. RefSeq lists it as uncharacterized. The record is from RefSeq and is a predicted model, not a curated record. The transcript is spliced from 2 exons. NCBI's taxonomy places the organism in Eukaryota, Viridiplantae, Streptophyta, Magnoliopsida, Asterales, Asteraceae.
CUAGAUUACAAUGGGUAGAAUAGACAAUAUCAUCACCAUCCGAAACGCAUCUAUAAAUGCAAACCUUUUUUUCAAGCAUUAUUCAUUCAUUAAAUCAAUUCCAUGUGUCGUUCUUUACAAAAGAAAAAGCAAACGUAAUAUAAAACCACUUCGCAUAAUGGUGAAGCUCGUGGAAUUACAUAUGAUGGUCCUAUGUGUGACCAUUUUUGUAGCACUCGUCGAGCAUGAGUGUGCCAAUAAUGGAGCCUUUAAAGACGAAUUAGCUGUCGCAAUUUCACAAGUUUGCCCUCCCACUUGUGCCAAAGCAACAGGAAAAAAAUUAUAUUGUUGUUGUGGUAACUCAAAUAUGUGUGCAAAAUUCUCGCCUGAUUGUGAUGCUGACUGUGCCAAGAAAAAAAAAUCAUGUUGUUGAAGAUUGAAUAUGAUAUCAUUUUCGGACGAUCAAAAAAUAAAAGAAAUAAGAGUGGUUUUUAGUUUGUGGUGUUGUGAACUGAUAGCAAAACAAUAUAGUAAAGAUAUAGGGGAAAAGGUAUCGAUAUUUCAUUGAUAGGUAUAUUAAACAUUGAGAUACAAUGAUAUAUAUGUAGGAAAGGAAGUCUUGGAGAACAACCUAAUCUAUUUAAGGAGUUGAUAAUCACAUAUAAUAUAUAAUAUUUUUAACA